This 565-nucleotide ribosomal RNA is filed under the name uncultured bacterium. RNAcentral's name for it is "bacterial SSU rRNA". It matches the Rfam family "Bacterial small subunit ribosomal RNA", at positions 337 to 916 of the family's 1533-position model. The record is from RNAcentral.
UCCUACGGGAGGCAGCAGUGGGGAAUUUUCCGCAAUGGGCGAAAGCCUGACGGAGCAACGCCGCGUGAGGGAUGAAGGCCUCUGGGCUGUAAACCUCUUUUCUCAAGGAAGAAGAUAUGACGGUACUUGAGAAAUAAGCCACGGCUAAUUCCGUGCCAGCAGCCGCGGUAAUACGGGAGUGGCAAGCGUUAUCCGGAAUUAUUGGGCGAAAAGCGUCCGCAGGCGGCCCUUCAAGUCUGCUGUAAAAACGUGGAGCUUAACUCCAUCAUCGCAGUGGAAACUGUAGGGCUUGAGUUUGGUAGGGGCAGAGGGAAUUCCCGGUGUAGCGGUGAAAUGCGUAGAUAUCGGGAAGAACACCAGUGGCGAAGGCGCUCUGCUGGGCCAUAACUGACGCUCAUGGACGAAAGCCAGGGGAGCGAAAGGGAUUAGAUACCCCUGUAGUCCUGGCCGUAAACGAUGAACACUAGGUGUCGGGGGAAUCGACCCCCUCGGUGUCGUAGCUAACGCGUUAAGUGUUCCGCCUGGGGAGUACGCACGCAAGUGUGAAACUCAAAUGAAUUGACGG